Molecule: ribosomal RNA, 301 nt
Filed under: uncultured bacterium
Lineage: Bacteria
Description: partial 16S ribosomal RNA
Rfam family: Bacterial small subunit ribosomal RNA
Source: RNAcentral
CAGCAGCCGCGGGAAAACGAAGGCUGCAAGCGUUAAUCGGAAUUACUGGGCGUAAAGCGUGCGUAGGCGGUGAGUUAAGUCUGCUGUGAAAUCCCCGGGCUCAACCUGGGAAUGGCAGUGGAUACUGGCUCGCUAGAGUGUGUCAGAGGAUGGUGGAAUUCCCGGUGUAGCGGUGAAAUGCGUAGAGAUCGGGAGGAACAUCAGUGGCGAAGGCGGCCAUCUGGGACAACACUGACGCUGAGGCACGAAAGCGUGGGGAGCAAACAGGAUUAGAUACCCCCGUAGUCCCUGUCUCUUAUAC